GACGAACGCUGGCGGCGUGCUUAACACAUGCAAGUCGAACGGAAAGGCCCUGCUUUUGUGGGGUGCUCGAGUGGCGAACGGGUGCGUAACACGUGAGUAACCUGCCCUUGACUUUGGGAUAACUUCAGGAAACUGGGGCUAAUACCGGAUAGGAGCCCCUGCUGCAUGGUGGGGGUUGGAAAGUUUCGGCGGUUGGGGAUGGACUCGCGGCUUAUCAGCUUGUUGGUGGGGUAGUGGCUUACCAAGGCUUUGACGGGUAGCCGGCCUGAGAGGGUGACCGGCCACAUGGGGACUGAGAUACGGCCCAGACUCCUACGGGAGGCAGCAGUGGGGAAUAUUGCACAAUGGGCGGAAGCCUGAUGCAGCAACGCCGCGUGCGGGAUGACGGCCUUCGGGUUGUAAACCGCUUUCGCCUGUGACGAAGCGUGAGUGACGGUAAUGGGUAAAGAAGCACCGGCUAACUACGUG
RNAcentral lists this ribosomal RNA (468 nucleotides) under uncultured bacterium. Its description in RNAcentral is "partial 16S ribosomal RNA". It matches the Rfam family "Bacterial small subunit ribosomal RNA", at positions 28 to 507 of the family's 1533-position model. The record is from RNAcentral.